This 874-nucleotide ribosomal RNA is filed under the name uncultured bacterium. RNAcentral's name for it is "bacterial SSU rRNA". It matches the Rfam family "Bacterial small subunit ribosomal RNA", at positions 28 to 897 of the family's 1533-position model. The record is from RNAcentral.
AUUGAACGCUGGCGGCAGGCCUAACACAUGCAAGUCGAGCGGAUGAAGGGAGCUUGCUCUCUGAUUCAGCGGCGGACGGGUGAGUAAUGCCUAGGAAUCUGCCUGAUAGUGGGGGACAACGUUUCGAAAGGAACGCCAAUACCGCAUACGUCCUACGGGAGAAAGCAGGGGACCUUCGGGUCUUGCGCUAUCAGAUGAGCCUAGGUCGGAUUAGCUAGUUGGUGAGGUAACGGCUCACCAAGGCGACGAUCCGUAACUGGUCUGAGAGGAUGAUCAGUCACACUGGAACUGAGACACGGUCCAGACUCCUACGGGAGGCAGCAGUGGGGAAUAUUGGACAAUGGGCGAAAGCCUGAUCCAGCCAUGCCGCGUGUGUGAAGAAGGUCUUCGGAUUGUAAAGCACUUUAAGUUGGGAGGAAGGGCAUUAACCUAAUACGUUAGUGUUUUGACGUUACCGACAGAAUAAGCACCGGCUAACUUCGUGCCAGCAGCCGCGGUAAUACGAAGGGUGCAAGCGUUAAUCGGAAUUACUGGGCGUAAAGCGCGCGUAGGUGGUUUGUUAAGUUGAAUGUGAAAGCCCCGGGCUCAACCUGGGAACUGCAUCCAAAACUGGCAAGCUAGAGUAUGGCAGAGGGUGGUGGAAUUUCCUGUGUAGCGGUGAAAUGCGUAGAUAUAGGAAGGAACACCAGUGGCGAAGGCGACCACCUGGGCUAAUACUGACACUGAGGUGCGAAAGCGUGGGGAGCAAACAGGAUUAGAUACCCUGGUAGUCCACGCCGUAAACGAUGUCGACUAGCCGUUGGGAUCCUUGAGAUCUUAGUGGCGCAGCUAACGCAUUAAGUCGACCGCCUGGGGAGUACGGCCGCAAGGUUAA